GAGCCCGUAGCUCAGCCGGUAGAGCACGAGACUUUUAAUCUUGGGGUCGCGGGUUCGACUCCCGCCGGGCUCACCA
RNAcentral lists this transfer RNA (76 nucleotides) under Acetobacteraceae bacterium. RNAcentral describes it as "tRNA-Lys". It matches the Rfam family "tRNA". Rfam says of the family: Transfer RNA (tRNA) molecules are approximately 80 nucleotides in length. Their secondary structure includes four short double-helical elements and three loops (D, anti-codon, and T loops). Further hydrogen bonds mediate the characteristic L-shaped molecular structure. tRNAs have two regions of fundamental functional importance: the anti-codon, which is responsible for specific mRNA codon recognition, and the 3' end, to which the tRNAs corresponding amino acid is attached (by aminoacyl-tRNA synthetases). tRNAs cope with the degeneracy of the genetic code in two manners: having more than one tRNA (with a specific anti-codon) for a particular amino acid; and 'wobble' base-pairing, i.e. permitting non-standard base-pairing at the 3rd anti-codon position. Lineage: Bacteria; Pseudomonadati; Pseudomonadota; Alphaproteobacteria; Acetobacterales; Acetobacteraceae. RNAcentral also lists the same sequence under 1 other name. The record is from RNAcentral.